RNAcentral lists this ribosomal RNA (459 nucleotides) under uncultured bacterium. RNAcentral describes it as "partial 16S ribosomal RNA". It matches the Rfam family "Bacterial small subunit ribosomal RNA", at positions 338 to 795 of the family's 1533-position model. The record is from RNAcentral.
CCUACGGGAGGCAGCAGUGAGGAAUAUUGGUCAAUGGACGAGAGUCUGAACCAGCCAAGUAGCGUGAAGGAUGACUGCCCUAUGGGUUGUAAACUUCUUUUAUAUGGGAAUAAAAUGUUCCACGUGUGGGAUUUUGUAUGUACCAUAUGAAUAAGGAUCGGCUAACUCCGUGCCAGCAGCCGCGGUAAUACGGAGGAUGCGAGCGUUAUCCGGAUUUAUUGGGUUUAAAGGGUGCGUAGGCGGAGGUUUAAGUCAGCGGUAAAAUGGCGGGGCUCAACCCCGGACGGCCGUUGAAACUGCGGACCUUGAGUGCGCGAGAAGUAUGCGGAAUGCGUGGUGUAGCGGUGAAAUGCAUAGAUAUCACGAAGAACUCCGAUUGCGAAGGCAGCAUACCGGCGCGCAACUGACGCUGAUGCACGAAAGCGUGGGUAUCGAACAGGAUUAGAUACCCGGGUAGUC